UGGGGUUUUGGCUCAGCGGUAGAGCACUCGCCUCGCACAUGGGAGAUCCUACCUGGGUUUGAUCCUCAGCACCACAU
Molecule: transfer RNA, 77 nt
Filed under: Marmota monax (woodchuck)
Lineage: Eukaryota; Metazoa; Chordata; Mammalia; Rodentia; Sciuridae
Description: tRNA.Ala
Source: RNAcentral